This 187-nucleotide ribosomal RNA is filed under the name Candidatus Bathyarchaeota archaeon. RNAcentral's name for it is "partial 16S ribosomal RNA". It matches the Rfam family "Archaeal small subunit ribosomal RNA", at positions 1 to 177 of the family's 1478-position model. Lineage: Archaea; Thermoproteati; Candidatus Bathyarchaeota. The record is from RNAcentral.
UAACUCCGGUUGAUCCUGCCGGACCCCACUGCUAUUGGGAUGGGACUAAGACAUGCUAGUCGUGCGCUUCUAAGCCAUGUUGGAGGCGCGGCAUACAGCUCAGUAACACGUGGCUAACCUGCCCUUGGGACGGAAACAACCCCGGGAAACUGGGGCUAAUUUCAGAUAGGUGGAGACUCCUGGAAUG